Molecule: long non-coding RNA, 142 nt
Organism: Xenia sp. Carnegie-2017
Lineage: Eukaryota; Metazoa; Cnidaria; Anthozoa; Malacalcyonacea; Xeniidae
Exons: 3
Source: RefSeq, a predicted model, not a curated record
AGCUCUAUCAAUGAACACGAUGGACCAAGCCACAAACAGGAAAAAAUGGGUAUUAACUCGAAGUAUGGGCUUGCAAACGAAGAAAGUGCAAGCGAAAAGCUGUCAGGUGUGCAAGACGGCAUAAGACGGCACGAAAACGAUG